This is a non-coding RNA of Mycena albidolilacea, 72 nucleotides long. The record is from the annotation of a GenBank genome assembly. Lineage: Eukaryota; Fungi; Basidiomycota; Agaricomycetes; Agaricales; Mycenaceae.
GGCUGUCUGGCUCGGUUGGUUAGAGCCGUGCUAAUAUCAACUCAGGUCUUGGGUUCGACCCCACGAUGGCCU